Molecule: transfer RNA, 78 nt
Filed under: Microscilla marina ATCC 23134
Lineage: Bacteria; Pseudomonadati; Bacteroidota; Cytophagia; Cytophagales; Microscillaceae
Rfam family: tRNA
About the family: Transfer RNA (tRNA) molecules are approximately 80 nucleotides in length. Their secondary structure includes four short double-helical elements and three loops (D, anti-codon, and T loops). Further hydrogen bonds mediate the characteristic L-shaped molecular structure. tRNAs have two regions of fundamental functional importance: the anti-codon, which is responsible for specific mRNA codon recognition, and the 3' end, to which the tRNAs corresponding amino acid is attached (by aminoacyl-tRNA synthetases). tRNAs cope with the degeneracy of the genetic code in two manners: having more than one tRNA (with a specific anti-codon) for a particular amino acid; and 'wobble' base-pairing, i.e. permitting non-standard base-pairing at the 3rd anti-codon position.
Source: Rfam by way of RNAcentral
GGUGCGAUGGCUGAGCGGUUGAAAGCACAGGUCUGCAAAACUUGUUUAUCGUCGUGGGUUCGAAUCCCACUCGCACCU